RNAcentral lists this ribosomal RNA (398 nucleotides) under uncultured bacterium. Its description in RNAcentral is "partial 16S ribosomal RNA". It matches the Rfam family "Bacterial small subunit ribosomal RNA", at positions 523 to 918 of the family's 1533-position model. The record is from RNAcentral.
AUACGUAGGGUGCGAGCGUUGUCCGGAAUUACUGGGCGUAAAGAGCUCGUAGGUGGUUUGUCGCGUCGUCUGUGAAAUUCCGGGGCUUAACUCCGGGCGUGCAGGCGAUACGGGCAUAACUUGAGUACUGUAGGGGAGACUGGAAUUCCUGGUGUAGCGGUGAAAUGCGCAGAUAUCAGGAGGAACACCGGUGGCGAAGGCGGGUCUCUGGGCAGUAACUGACGCUGAGGAGCGAAAGCAUGGGUAGCGAACAGGAUUAGAUACCCUGGUAGUCCAUGCCGUAACCGGUGGGCGCUAGGUGUAGGGGUCUUCCACGACUUCUGUGCCGUAGCUAACGCAUUAAGCGCCCCGCCUGGGGAGUACGGCCGCAAGGCUAAAACUCAAAUGAAUUGACGGGG